Molecule: ribosomal RNA, 453 nt
Filed under: uncultured Bifidobacterium sp.
Lineage: Bacteria; Bacillati; Actinomycetota; Actinomycetes; Bifidobacteriales; Bifidobacteriaceae
Description: bacterial SSU rRNA
Rfam family: Bacterial small subunit ribosomal RNA
Source: RNAcentral
CUCCAGUUGGAUGCAUGUCCUUCUGGGAAAGAUUCAUCGGUAUGGGAUGGGGUCGCGUCCUAUCAGCUUGAUGGCGGGGUAACGGCCCACCAUGGCUUCGACGGGUAGCCGGCCUGAGAGGGCGACCGGCCACAUUGGGACUGAGAUACGGCCCAGACUCCUACGGGAGGCAGCAGUGGGGAAUAUUACACAAUGGGCGCAAGCCUGAUGCAGCGACGCCGCGUGCGGGAUGACGGCCUUCGGGUUGUAAACCGCUUUUGACUGGGAGCAAGCCCUUCGGGGUGAGUGUACCUUUCGAAUAAGCACCGGCUAACUACGUGCCAGCAGCCGCGGUAAUACGUAGGGUGCAAGCGUUAUCCGGAAUUAUUGGGCGUAAAGGGCUCGUAGGCGGUUCGUCGCGUCCGGUGUGAAAGUCCAUCGCUUAACGGUGGAUCCGCGCCGGGUACGGGCGGG